This 450-nucleotide ribosomal RNA is filed under the name uncultured bacterium. RNAcentral describes it as "partial 16S ribosomal RNA". It matches the Rfam family "Bacterial small subunit ribosomal RNA", at positions 354 to 796 of the family's 1533-position model. The record is from RNAcentral.
GUGGGGAAUCUUCCGCAAUGGACGAAAGUCUGACGGAGCAACGCCGCGUGAGUGAUGAAGGUCUUCGGAUUGUAAAGCUCUGUUAAUCGGGACGAAAGAGCCUAGUGUGAAUAAUGCUAGGAAGUGACGGUACCGGAAUAGAAAGCCACGGCUAACUACGUGCCAGCAGCCGCGGUAAUACGUAGGUGGCAAGCGUUGUCCGGACUUAUUGGGCGUAAAGCGCGCGCAGGCGGAUCUGCCAGUCUGUCUUAAAAGUUCGGGGCUUAACCCCGUGAUGGGAUGGAAACUACAGAUCUAGAGUAUCGGAGAGGAAAGUGGAAUUCCUAGUGUAGCGGUGAAAUGCGUAGAUAUUAGGAAGAACACCAGUGGCGAAGGCGACUUUCUGGACGAAAACUGACGCUGAGGCGCGAAAGCCAGGGGAGCGAACGGGAUUAGAUACCCUUGUAGUCC